CAGUCGCCACGGUAAAACGAAGGGGGCUAGCGUUGUUCGGAAUCACUGGGCGUAAAGGGUGCGUAGGCGGGCAUUUAAGUCAGGGGUGAAAUCCCGAGGCUCAACCUCGGAACUGCCCUUGAUACUGGGUGUCUUGAGUCCGGAAGAGGUGAGUGGAACUGCGAGUGUAGAGGUGAAAUUCGUAGAUAUUCGCAAGAACACCGGUGGCGAAGGCGGCUCACUGGUCCGGAACUGACGCUGAGGCACGACAGCGUGGGGAGCAAACAGGAUUAGAUACCCGUGUAGUCCCUGUCUCUUAUAC
This 301-nucleotide ribosomal RNA is filed under the name uncultured bacterium. RNAcentral describes it as "partial 16S ribosomal RNA". It matches the Rfam family "Bacterial small subunit ribosomal RNA", at positions 509 to 807 of the family's 1533-position model. The record is from RNAcentral.